Molecule: transfer RNA, 85 nt
Filed under: Vibrio coralliilyticus
Lineage: Bacteria; Pseudomonadati; Pseudomonadota; Gammaproteobacteria; Vibrionales; Vibrionaceae
Description: tRNA-Leu
Rfam family: tRNA
About the family: Transfer RNA (tRNA) molecules are approximately 80 nucleotides in length.
Source: RNAcentral
GCGGAAGUGGCGGAAUUGGUAGACGCACCAGAUUUAGGUUCUGGCGCCGCAAGGUGUGAGAAUUCAAGUCUCUCCUUCCGCACCA